Long non-coding RNA from Anthonomus grandis grandis, 976 nucleotides. RefSeq lists it as uncharacterized. The record is from RefSeq and is a predicted model, not a curated record. Lineage: Eukaryota; Metazoa; Arthropoda; Insecta; Coleoptera; Curculionidae. The transcript is spliced from 3 exons.
UGGUAAUUGAGUAAGGCCGCAACGCCAUUCGGUUGCUAUUUUCUCGGAUAAUUUUUGCCGUUAAAAAAGAUUUUAGUUAAUAAUAAGUAAGAUUAAUGUUAUUAAGGCAUUAAUUUAGUAAGUUAGGCCGUCCAAGGGCGUAUCUAAAAUGUCGGUACAAAAUUUUAGCAGAUAUUUUGUGAUUAUCUUUUAAUGAAUGUUUUCGAUUGAAUUGAAUUAUCUUUAAACGCAAGUUAUACUUUUUAUAUGACUUUCAAUUGGAUUUGCUUCCAUUUAUAUUUGCUUAAAUAGUUUACCUGUUUAGUGACUUUAAUUCAUGUUAAGAAGACUUGCAGAUGGCGCUAGAGAUUGAUAUAAACUAUGGAGUGGCAUUUGAAAGUGGACAAUUACUUAGCAAAUGGGAAAAGUGUUUACCACAAAUUAUAGAAUUUCUAAAAAAAGAUGGCCACAUAAAGGACAAAUCUUCUAAAGACCUUUUAACAAACAUAGAUAAAACUACAGAUGAUGAAAAUGGAAGAUAUGCUGCAGUCCUAUGGGCAUUCCAUGGCUAUUUUGUGCCUUCCGCAAAAGAAUACAAAAAACGAGUUAAUGGAAAAUCGACGUGUACAAAAUACACUAUCAAGGAUUCCCAGGAAUCGUUUUUGUAUUGCGGAAAAACCCAGCAGGAGGCUGAAGAACACAUCAUUUAUUUAAAAACUAAAGAAACGGCCAUUCAACCCUUUAUAAUGUGUCUUGGGGAUAAUAUUAACAACAUUUCAAACAUUUGUGUGUACUUUGAUGAUGGUCGUUACAAAUGCUUUCAUUUAAUUAAGGCUGUAGACGUAUGUUUUAAAAUAAUGUAUCUCUUCAACUAGGACUUUCCAAAGCCUAGUAAAAUGUUUUGGAAUUUUAUUGAAAAGGCUUUUUAUAGUGAUAAACCUUACCUUACUUUGGAAAGUCCAAAAGUUCAAAUUUUGUGCGAAUAUUUGCCACAAUA